CCUACGGGAGGCUGCAGUGGGGAAUAUUGGGCAAUGGGCGCAAGCCUGACCCAGCAACGCCGCGUGAAGGAAGAAGGCUUUCUGGUUGUAAACUUCUUUUGACAGGGAAGAGUAGAAGACGGUACCUGUCGAAUAAGCCACGGCUAACUACGGGCCAGCAGCCGCGGUAAUACGUAGGUGGCAAGCGUUGUCCGGAUUUACUGGGGGUAAAGGGCGUGUAGCCGGGUUGACAAGUCAGAUGGGAAAUCCUGCGGCUUAACCGCAGAACUGCAUUUGAAACUGUUGAUCUUGAGUACUGGAGAGGCAGACGGAAUGCCUAGUGUAGCGGUGAAAUGCGUAGAUAUUAGGCGGAACACCAGUGGCGAAGGCGGUCUGCUGGACAGCAACUGACGGUGAGGCGCGAAAGCGUGGGGAGCAAACAGGAUUAGAUACCCGGGUAGUC
RNAcentral lists this ribosomal RNA (442 nucleotides) under uncultured bacterium. RNAcentral describes it as "partial 16S ribosomal RNA". It matches the Rfam family "Bacterial small subunit ribosomal RNA", at positions 338 to 795 of the family's 1533-position model. The record is from RNAcentral.